AGAGUUUGAUCAUGGCUCAGAACGAACGCUGGCGGCGUGCUUAACACAUGCAAGUCGCGUGCGCGGUUCCGUAGCAAUACGGGAUGGGCGCACGGCGCACGGGUGCGUAACACGUGGGCAAUCUGCCCUCCGAUGGGGAAUAACCCCGCGAAAGCGGGGCUAAUACCGCAUAACAUUCCUUGGACUAUGGUUUGAGGACUCAAAGCAGCAAUGCGUCAGAGGAGGAGCCCGCGCCCGAUUAGCUAGUUGGUGAGGUAACGGCUCACCAAGGCAAUGAUCGGUAGCUGGUCUGAGAGGAUGGCCAGCCACACUGGAACUGAGACACGGUCCAGACUCCUACGGGAGGCAGCAGUGGGGAAUCUUGCGCAAUGGGCGAAAGCCUGACGCAGCGACGCCGCGUGGGGGAUGAAGCUUUUCGGAGUGUAAACCCCUUUCGACUGGGACGAAUGCCCGCAAGGGAGUGACGGUACCAGUAGAAGAAGCCCCGGCUAACUACGUGCCAGCAGCCGCGGUAAGACGUAGGGGGCCAGCGUUGUUCGGAAUUACUGGGUGUAAAGGGUUCGUAGGCGGUGUGGCAAGUCGGGAGUGAAAUCUCUGGGCUUAACUCAGAGGCUGCUUCCGAAACUGCUGUGCUUGAGUGUGGGAGAGGCGCGUGGAAUUGCAGGUGUAGCGGUGAAAUGCGUAGAUAUCUGCAGGAACACCCGUGGCGAAAGCGGCGCGCUGGACCACAACUGACGCUGAGGAACGAAAGCUAGGGGAGCAAACAGGAUUAGAUACCCUGGUAGUCCUAGCCCUAAACGAUCAGGACUUGGGGGUGGCGCCCGUUCGGGCGUCGUCCCGGAGCUAACGCGUUAAGUCCUGCACCUGGGGAGUACGGUCGCAAGACUGAAACUCAAAGGAAUUGACGGGGGCCCGCACAAGCGGUGGAACAUGUGGUUCAAUUCGACGCUACGCGAGGAACCUU
RNAcentral lists this ribosomal RNA (964 nucleotides) under uncultured bacterium. RNAcentral's name for it is "bacterial SSU rRNA". It matches the Rfam family "Bacterial small subunit ribosomal RNA", at positions 8 to 972 of the family's 1533-position model. The record is from RNAcentral.